RNAcentral lists this ribosomal RNA (253 nucleotides) under uncultured bacterium. RNAcentral describes it as "partial 16S ribosomal RNA". It matches the Rfam family "Bacterial small subunit ribosomal RNA", at positions 524 to 776 of the family's 1533-position model. The record is from RNAcentral.
UACGUAGGGCGCAAGCGUUGUCCGGAAUUAUUGGGCGUAAAGAGCUCGUAGGUGGCUUGUCACGUCGGGUGUGAAAGCUUGGGGCUUAACUCCAGGUCUGCAUUCGAUACGGGCUGGCUAGAGGUAGGUAGGGGAGAACGGAAUUCCUGGUGUAGCGGUGAAAUGCGCAGAUAUCAGGAGGAACACCGGUGGCGAAGGCGGCACUCUGGGCCGAUACUGACACUGAGGAGCGAAAGCGUGGGGAGCGAACAGG